Molecule: long non-coding RNA, 1101 nt
Filed under: Parus major (Great Tit)
Lineage: Eukaryota; Metazoa; Chordata; Aves; Passeriformes; Paridae
Description: lncRNA (ENSPMJG00000013526.1)
Source: RNAcentral
GAAGCCGAGGAGAUGGGAAGCGUGGGAGAACGGGAUAGAGGGAAAAUGGGAUAGAGGGAAAAUGGGAUAGAGGAGAGAUGGGAAUAACGGGAAAAUGAGAUUUAGGGAAAAACGGGAAGCCAAGGAGAUGGGAAGUGUGGGAAUAACGGGAUAGAGGAGAGAUGGGUUGCAGGGAAAAUGGGAUACAGGGAAAACGGGAUACAGGGGGAGGUGGGAAAUGGGAAAACGGGAUACAGGUGGAAAAUGGGAUGAAAGAGGAGAUGGGAUGCAGGGAAAAACGGGAUACGUGGGAAAAUGGGAUACAGGGAAAAUGGGAAAAACAGGAAAAUGGGAUGCCGUGGGAGGUGGGAAAUGGGAAAAUGGGAUACAGGAGGAAAAGGGGAUGAAAGAGGAGAUGGGGAACAGGGAAAAUGGGAUACAGGGAAAACGGGAAGCCGAGGAGAUGGGAAGCGUGGGAAUAACGGGAUAGAGGAGAGCUGGGCUGGAAUUCCUGGAGAAUCCCUGGGAGCAUCCGAGGAAAGGCUGGCGCAGCCUGGGAUGGCGGGGUGGGAACGGGAUGGGAUCGAGGAUCCGCGGAUCCCACCCCAAACCAUCCCGGGAUUCCCAGCGCCCCGGGGUGGUGGGAUCCCUGUGGAUGAUCCCUUGGGAAUCUCCCGUUCCCGGUUUAUCCAGCGGGAAUUCGGCUCCCGUGAGUCACCGGAAUGCCCGCGUGGAUCGGGAAUCGGGAUUGGGAAUCAGAGCUGGGAAUGGCGGCUCGGGAUCUGGGAUCUGCUCCCGGGAUCUGGUUUUCCCCGGAUGGCGCCAGGAUUCCCACUGGGUGCGGGAAUGAGCGUCUGGAGGUCAGGAUGAGCUCCAGGGUCAUCCCCCAUUCCCAAAAUUCCCAAAAUUCCUGUGGAAUUCCCGCAUCCCAUUCCCACGGCUGAAUCCCGGGUGACCUCUGGCUCCCCAUUCCCGAAUCCCUGUGGAAUUCCCGCGCCCGGCAGCUUGGGGAUCUGGGAUUUGGGGUUUGGGGAGGAAUGGGAAUUCCAGCGGGAAUUCCAGCGGCACUGGGAGCGUCCGGGCUGGGUCCCGGUGCCGGUCCCGGUGCUGGGGGUCGGUCCC